Molecule: long non-coding RNA, 2069 nt
Organism: Vitis vinifera (wine grape)
Lineage: Eukaryota; Viridiplantae; Streptophyta; Magnoliopsida; Vitales; Vitaceae
Exons: 3
Source: RefSeq, a predicted model, not a curated record
UUUACCAGAAAAAAGUUGAUUCCACAAUUUUCUAUGAAGAUUCUAAUCGUGAAACGGCGUCGUUUUCGUCGUCGCCUGCGUCCUCCACGGAAGCCAUGGAUGAUGACGACGUGGCCUCACCCAAGUUCCCCGAGCCCUUCCAAGAUUCCGUCUCCCACGAUUCUCGGAUUAUGACAGAAUCUCUCGUUCCUCCUCCACCGUCAUUUCUCGAACACAGUGCCACCUCCCUCAGAUAUCUCAGUUGCUCUACCUAGAAAGCAGGAGAUUCCUUCAGUAACACAGGAAACCGGGGCUGUUUGGAAAUGCUUUUAACAAGCAGAGAUAUAAAUAUCGUUUGCUGUCCUCAAAAGACGAGAAAGGAAAACCAGCCCACUAACCUUUCAAAGGUAAGAGAAUAUUUAGUACUUUGAUAGGGUAGGAAGAACUCAAAGGCAUAUGUAGCAUGUGAUGAAGUAGUUGAAAGUUGUCACUGAUUUGUAAAGAACUAGUUGAAAUUAAUUGUAUCUUUGAUCUGAUUAAUGCAAUUUGAUUGGUCAUUACCAUAAUCGAGUGUCAGCUCUUGUGCCCUGCCCAGGUGAUCAUGCAACCUUUACAAGAAAUUUGUGCUUGUUAGUACUUUUAAACUGCACAUUCUCCAAGCUAUUGACUGGAAAUUAGGGACCAUAAAAGUCAUUUGUUGAAUUUGUUUUUAUGUUAAUGCUUGUUCAACUGAUGGCUUCUAUUGCAGUGGGCCGCAACAUCGGAAAAACCAACAAAAUGAUUUCUAUAUUACAUGAGGAAUUGGUAUUAAAAAGAAUAUUGGUUGGACAAUUGCUUGGCCGACAAGCUGUGUAGUUGACAUUGAUAAUUCCGCACCAUUUGAGGCAGAAAUAAUGGCAGGUCCUUAGUAGUUCUUGUGAUAAUAGUAGAGCAAUAAUUAUAAUUGUGCAUCUAUAGUAGCCUACAUAUCUCUAGUUGGAAGGCGCCACUAGUGGAUUUUUAUACUGCUGAUAUAUAAGAUAUGCUAGAGACCGAUAACGCAUGAAAGUAUUUAUCAUUUACAUCUUGGUUAGGCAUCAAGCAUAUGAUCUCAGACUGAAAACUAAAAGUUGUAGGGAUUCAAGCCUCUGAGAACCAAUGGGCAUGAAUCAAAUAUCUUUUAGCCUAUAAAGUGUACAAAUAUUGGUCAAUUCUAUUUGGUUAUAUUUUGUAACAUGUUAUGCAGCUGAGUCUUUGUGAUGAAGUUGGAAUCUAUCACUCCUUCCCUAGUCUUUGUAACAUGUUUAUUUCUAUUAGUUUUAAGACCCGUUACACAAGGAAGGAUACCGACUCCUUUUAGAAGAACUCCUCAUCCCAAGUUAGUAAACCUCUAGUUAAUGGCAUAAACAUGAGACCUUGAUGUGUAAAAUACGACAAAUAGCUGUCUUGAGAGGCGAAAAAUCCCUGUGCGACGGUCAAGUGUAAAUGGUAUACGCACCUCUCAAUGCCUCCCAUAUAAACCAUCAAAACACAAUCCCACAUGAACAUUCCUUAAACCUCCAAACACUACAUCCCGUUCUCACCAAGCACAAGGUAUCCCUUGCAUUUCCUCUGCCUAAGUAACCUCCUUUUACGUUUUGUCUUUCUUUUCCUCAUGCUUAUCAGAAACUAACCUUUCUUUAUUAUGUUGACCCUUGAGGAACAUAAGCAAGGCUAGGGAAGAGGGGAGACAAUGAAGAGGUGUGGGACACGUGGCUAAACCGAAACUGAAAGUGACUGGACAAGUGGAGAUGAGACAGCCGGCGCCAAUUUCGCUGUAGGACCAUGUCUUAAUGGCUGAUACAUCACUGGAGUUUUGCAGCAAGCAUGAGGUACUGCCAUCUUCCUUCACAAUAAGGGCACAUAUUUUCUCUCUUUCUUUUUCAUUCUCUGAACUGUAACAAACUGAGAAUCAGCCAUUUUUGUCAGCCAUGAGUGACGCACUACACUGCUUGUUGACUGAUCUUCAACGUCUUAAUUAGAGGAAAGUGUGUUGAUAUGUAACUUCUUAAAAGUCAUUUGUGGGUCUGGCUGCUUAUUUUUCAAUCAAAUUUUGUCAAUUCAAGAGGACC